RNAcentral lists this ribosomal RNA (954 nucleotides) under Triticum aestivum (bread wheat). RNAcentral's name for it is "partial small subunit ribosomal RNA". The record is from RNAcentral. Lineage: Eukaryota; Viridiplantae; Streptophyta; Magnoliopsida; Poales; Poaceae.
GUGGGUUACAGCAAGCACAGGGGCAUGGGCCACGACAACGACAGCUAUAUUCGGUCCGGGUUUUUCACCGUCGGCGGCCACAACUGGGCCAUCUCCUUCUUCCCUGAUGGUUUCAAUGGAUAUAGCCAAGAUUACAUCUCGGUUUAUCUCGUCCUUGUGAGCCACAGAACUAAAGUCCGGGCAUCCUGCGACAUGAGGCUGGUGGACCAGUACACCGGAUGCUCGUUUUCAGUGCAUAACAUAGGACCUAGGAUUUUCAAUCCCGCUGAUACUACUAGGGUUGCUCCACAGACUCCUUGUUUCAUAAGGCGGGACGAGAUCGAGGGAUCUGCAUACCUUAGGGAUGAUCGCCUCACGAUUGAAUGUGUUGUCACUGUCUUCAAGAAGCCACAUGUUACCGAAACCAAAUCGCUCCCCGUAAUCGACAUACCACCAGCUGACAUGACUGAGCAUGUUGCCAAGCUGCUCGAAGAAAAGAAGGGAUUUGAUGUCAGUUUCAUUGUUGGAGGAGAGACCAUUGAAGCGCAUAGGUUUGUUCUCGCUAUGCGGUCUCCUGUUUUUAAAGCAGAGCUCUAUGGGUCAAUGCGGGAGGCAAGGCCGGGGCAGUGCAUAACCAUCAAGGACAUGCAACCUGCUGUUUUCAAGGCCCUGCUCCAUUUUAUCUAUACUGACUCCUUGCCUAGCGACGAGGAUACUGAGAUGGUCCGGCUUUUACUAGUGGCUGCUGACAGAUAUGCAAUGGAUAGACUCAAGUUGGUUUGCCAAAGCAUCCUUUGCGAGGAUCUGAACAAGGACACCGUGGCAACCACAUUGGCUUUAGCUGAACAACAUAACUGCCUCCAGCUUAAGGAUGCUUGCCUUCAGUUUAUUGAAUUAUUAGGUUUCAAGGAUCUCAAGGCGACUUGCCCAUCUUUCAUAGAGGACGUAUUGAAGAAGAGAAGAAAAGUUUCAUGA